CCUACGGGUGGCAGCAGUGGGGAAUAUUGCACAAUGGGGGAAACCCUGAUGCAGCGACGCCGCGUGAGUGAAGAAGUAUCUCGGUACGUAAAGCUCUAUCAGCAGGGAAGAAAAUGACGGUACUGACCAAAGAAGCCCCGGCUAACUACGGGCCAGCAGCCGCGGUAAUACGUAGGGGGAAGGCGUUAUCCGGAUUAAUUGGGUUGAAGGGGUGCGUAGGCGGAAUAUCAAGUCAGCGGUAAAAAUUCGGGGCUCAACCCCGUCGUGCCGUUGAAACUGAUGUUCUUGAGUGGGCGAGAAGUAUGCGGAAUGCGUGGUGUAGCGGUGAAAUGCAUAGAUAUCACGCAGAACUCCGAUUGCGAAGGCAGCAUACCGGCGCCCAACUGACGCUGAAGCACGAAAGCGUGGGUAUCGAACAGGAUUAGAUACCCCGGUAGUC
This 439-nucleotide ribosomal RNA is filed under the name uncultured bacterium. Its description in RNAcentral is "partial 16S ribosomal RNA". It matches the Rfam family "Bacterial small subunit ribosomal RNA", at positions 338 to 795 of the family's 1533-position model. The record is from RNAcentral.